GUUUACUGGAGGCUUAGCCAAAGCUUUUCCCUUCUCAGUUUUCAGUGCCCCAGAUUCCCAAGACAGAUGAGCAGGAGGAAUGAAUCCAAACUUCUAGAAACAGCUCAUCUUCCCUUGUGCUUGCAGCACUGGGUGCUUGGUGUGGGCUGGUGGGGUGUGUGUGUGUGUGUGUGGUGUGUGUGUGUGUGUGCGCAGGAAUAUGCAGACCUCAGGGUUUCUAAGUGCCCGGCCAUGGUCUGGUCUUGAUUAGGCAGGCGGAGGGAAGUGGGUCCACAGCAGCGAUCAGAGCUGCUGCAUCCAGCUGUGAGGCUGCAGAGCCAGAAACGCGUGCGACCUGAAAGGGAACACAUUUCUAGAGGGCCUCGGGCCAAGGUGGAGGUGAUGAGGGCAGGAUGUGGAGGCCAGCGGAGGACAAGUGCUGACUGGCAUGGGGAUGCUACGGGUGGGGGGACGGUCAGGAAUUAGCAGCUGAUUUCAAGCGUUGGGAGGAGGUGCGGAGACAAGGAGGCAGCGGCUGGGGUGAUUCCAGAGUAAUUAGGGUGGAAAAUUCUGGAGCAUCCUCGUUGCUUCCCUCAGGACAGAGGCUGCGCGUUUCUCAGCUCUGUCCUGGCAGCGGCUGGCGGAGCAUGUGUGGGCUUCAUUGAAUACGCUGCCCGAGUGUCUUGCAGCUUUUCCCAGGCGUCUUCUGUGUCUCCCUGUCCCCACGGCUGCAACUUCGACAACUGAGUUCUCUUGCUCUGGCUGCAUUUCAGGACAAGAGCAUGCCUGCCUGAGGUGCCUAGAAUCCUGGCUGGACCCCAAACACUGCAGACUACUUGGUUUCUGUCCAAGGACAGCCCCAAUGGCCUGGACAGGGCUUAGCGCAAUUCCUAAUGUACAUCAGACCCUAAAGGAAGUGUGUGCUGUGAGGACAGCCUGAUGAAAUCCUGGCACAGGAAGGAGAGGCAGUACAGGACUGUGGUUUCUGAGCCAAACUGGUGACACAAGACUCGAGCCCUGGUC
Molecule: long non-coding RNA, 1002 nt
Filed under: Sus scrofa (pig)
Lineage: Eukaryota; Metazoa; Chordata; Mammalia; Artiodactyla; Suidae
Description: lncRNA (ENSSSCG00030054917.1, ENSSSCG00060052461.1)
Source: RNAcentral